CAGGAGAUAAAGGAGAGCUUAAAGAACUGUGACUUUCCGAAGAUGUAGCUUGUGGGCUCACCAUCUUUGGUGUAGUAACCACUACACAUGAUGGAGUCCUGCUUUCCUGGGGAUGGCUGAACACCUGCCUGCCAGUGGGAAGUAACUCUGAACAGUUGCCAGGGAUUGUCCAUAAUCCCUCGAGGAAGCCAUGGGGAGCUUCUCAUGAACCCAGGCCAACUC
Molecule: long non-coding RNA, 222 nt
Organism: Falco peregrinus (peregrine falcon)
Lineage: Eukaryota; Metazoa; Chordata; Aves; Falconiformes; Falconidae
Exons: 3
Source: RefSeq, a predicted model, not a curated record